Molecule: transfer RNA, 52 nt
Filed under: Demodex brevis
Lineage: Eukaryota; Metazoa; Arthropoda; Arachnida; Trombidiformes; Demodicidae
Description: tRNA-Val
Source: RNAcentral
UAAACCUCAAGCUUAGAGUUUUUCAUUUACGGUGAAAAGGAUGUAGGUUUUG